UACGGAGGGGGCGAGCGUUAUUCGGAAUUAUUGGGCGUAAAGGGCGCGUAGGCGGCUUGGUAAGUCAAAGGUGAAAUCCCUCGGCUCAACUGAGGAAUUGCCUUUGAAACUGCCUGGCUUGAGGCCGGGAGGGGGUAGCGGAAUUCCCAGUGUAGCGGUGAAAUGCGUAGAUACUGGGAGGAACACCGGUGGCGAAGGCGGCUACCUGGACCGGUUCUGACGCUGAUGCGCGAAAGCGUGGGGAGCAAACAGG
Molecule: ribosomal RNA, 253 nt
Filed under: uncultured bacterium
Lineage: Bacteria
Description: partial 16S ribosomal RNA
Rfam family: Bacterial small subunit ribosomal RNA
Source: RNAcentral